RNAcentral lists this ribosomal RNA (1713 nucleotides) under Clostridium sp. RNAcentral's name for it is "partial 23S ribosomal RNA". It matches the Rfam family "Bacterial large subunit ribosomal RNA", at positions 210 to 2007 of the family's 2925-position model. The record is from RNAcentral. Lineage: Bacteria; Bacillati; Bacillota; Clostridia; Eubacteriales; Clostridiaceae.
GAACAAGAAAAGAAAGAAAACUCGAUUCUCCAAGUAGCGGCGAGCGAACAGAGAACAGCCCAUUAAAGUAAGACUAAACUGAUAGACAAAUCUUAUGGAAAGAAGAACCAAAGAAAGUAACAGUCUUGUAGUCGAAAUCAGAAUAGAGACACUUUAAGAAGAGUACCACGGAGCACGUGAAAUUCUGUGGGAAGAUAGGGGGACCACCCCCUAAGGCUAAAUACUACCUGGUGACCGAUAGCGAAUAGUACCGUGAGGGAAAGGUGAAAAGAACCCCGGGAGGGGAGUGAAACAGAACCUGAAACCUUGCGCCUACAAGCAGACAGAGGAAGAAGACUUCUAAUGUCGUACUUUUUGUAGAACGGGCCAGCGAGUUACGAUACGUAGCAAGAUUAAACAUUUAAGAUGUGAAGUCGCAGGGAAACCGAGUCUUAAUAGGGCGAAAGUUGCGUGUUGUAGACCCGAAACCGGGUGAUCUAUCCAUGGGCAGAGUGAAGGUAAAGUAAAAUUUACUGGAGGCUCGAACCGGGUAGCGUUUAAAAGCUAUCGGAUGACCUGUGGAUAGGGGUGAAAAGCCAAUCGAACUCGGAUAUAGCUGGUUCUCCUCGAAAUAGCUUUAGGGCUAGCCUUGUUUUAGAUUACAGGAGGUAGAGCACUGAAUAGUCUAGGGGAAGUAAUUCUACCGAAACUUAUCAAACUCCGAAUGCCUGAAAAUCGAUGAACAGGAGUCAGACCAUGAGGGAUAAGCUUCAUAGUCAAAAGGGAAACAGCCCAGACCACCAGUUAAGGUCCCAAAAUACAGAUUAAGUGGGAAAGGAUGUAAUACUACUCAGACAACCAGGAUGUUGGCUCAGAAGCAGCCAUACAUUUAAAGAGUGCGUAAUAGCUCACUGGUCAAGUGGUAAUGCGCCGAAGAUGAACGGGGCUAAAUCUGAUACCGAAACUGUGGGAUAGAAAAGCAAUUAUGCGAGAAGUAUGAAGUAAGCAAUUGUGGAUUAUAUACAAGUGAGAAUGCUGGCAUGAGUAGCGAAAAGGGAUGUGAGAAUCAUCCCCGUCGAAAGCCCAAGGAUUCCUGAGCAAGGCUCGUCCUCUCAGGGUAAGUCGGGACCUAAGGCGAGGCCGAAAGGCGUAGUCGAUGGACAACAGGUAGAAAUUCCUGUACUACAAGAUUGUGAUUGAGAGAAGUACUGACGCAGAAGGAAAAGUCGAGCGUGUGAAUGGUAGAACACGUCCAAGUAACAAGCCAGAAUAUACAGGCAAAUCCGUAUAUUCGCUAACGUAAGUUAUCAUGGGGAGCAGAAAGAUGCGAAGCGACAGAUUCAAACUGCCAAGAAAAGGUGCUAUCGAAUAAUCUUGUACCCGUACCGCAAACCGACACAGGUAGGCAAGAAGAGAAUUCUAAGACGCGCGGAAGAACCUUUGUUAAGGAACUCGGCAAAAUAAUCCCGUAAGUUAGCGAGAAGGGAUGCCUAAGAAAUUAGGUCGCAGAGAAUAGGCCCAAGCGACUGUUUACCAAAAACACAAGUAUCUGCUAAAUCGAAAGAUGAAGUAUAGGUGCUGACACCUGCCCGGUGCUGGAAGGUCAAGGGGACUUGUUAGAGCAAUCGAAGCAACGAACUUAAGCCCCAGUAAACGGCGGCCGUAACUAUAACGGUCCUAAGGUAGCGAAAUUCCUUGUCGGGUAAGUUCCGACCCGCACGAAAGGUGUAACGA